GGCCCUUCUCACACCUUUCUCCUUCGCAGAGCCUGGCUGCUCAGGCCUCUGCCUGAUGGGAAGGAGUUGAAACUAUCCAGAGGUCAGGACAUCUCCUGAAGUCAACCAUUUUCAUGGAAAGUGGAGGGUAGAGAGCGGAGGGUGCAGACUCUACCACUGCCGCAAUUUCAUAGGUCAUUGGGAUCCCUGGUGGCGCCAAUUAUUAACCGCAUUGAUGUGCUGUGAAGGAAGUGCCUUCCGCUUUCGGUGGGGCACAGCAGCUGGGUGAAGCCAGGUCAGCUGCUUUAAUCCUCUAAAGCCUCGGUUUCCUCAUCUGGGAGGUGGAGCCAGUCACGAGCUUUUUCAUCAGAAACUCCUAAUUACCAGAAACUACGUGUGUCCUGCGAUUUGGCCAGCAGCUAAAGAUAACCAUCCUAUUCCCUGAAGCAACUACUGCCACAUCGGAGCCUGCUACAACCCUGCUGAUAAGCUAAUGGGCUU
This is a long non-coding RNA of Myotis myotis, 480 nucleotides long. RefSeq lists it as uncharacterized. The record is from RefSeq and is a predicted model, not a curated record. Lineage: Eukaryota; Metazoa; Chordata; Mammalia; Chiroptera; Vespertilionidae. The transcript is spliced from 3 exons.